This 447-nucleotide ribosomal RNA is filed under the name uncultured bacterium. Its description in RNAcentral is "SSU rRNA". It matches the Rfam family "Bacterial small subunit ribosomal RNA", at positions 26 to 518 of the family's 1533-position model. The record is from RNAcentral.
AGAACGAACGCUGGCGGCAGGCUUAACACAUGCAAGUCGAACGCGUGUAGCAAUACACGAGUGGCGCACGGGUGAGUAACGCGUGGAUAUCUGCCUUUUGGUUUGGAAUAACCCCGGGAAACUGGGGCUAAUACCGGAUGGUUCCUACGGGAUAAAGAUUUAUCGCCAAAAGAUGAGUCCGCGUCCGAUUAGCUAGUUGGUGGGGUAAUGGCCUACCAAGGCGACGAUCGGUAGCUGGUCUGAGAGGACGAUCAGCCACACUGGGACUGAGACACGGCCCAGACUCCUACGGGAGGCAGCAGUGGGGAAUAUUGGACAAUGGGGGCAACCCUGAUCCAGCCAUGCCGCGUGAGUGAUGAAGGCCUUCGGGUUGUAAAGCUCUUUUGGCGGGGACGAUGAUGACGGUACCGCAGAAUAAGCCCCGGCUAACUUCGUGCCAGCAGCCGC